AUGUCAACAAUGCAGAGCGUGACCGAACGUUUGCUACUAAAAAAAAAACAAGGGAUACGAUUAAAAUUACUAACAAGAUUUUUUGAUCCCGGUGAUAGUGUGUGUGUUCGGGAUUGAUUCAAACGCAUCUUUACGGCUGUCAAUACGUACCAAAUCAGUAACUACGACAUUCGAAUUAAAGCCUUUUAAAGGAGCGAGCUAGAAAGUGUGCAGACGAUUGGUUAGUUGCAACAUCUACACAAGAGGCAUUACGUGAGACCAUAGCUAACAUUUGUUAUUAUCCUUUGAGCUAACCUCGUGUCCAUGAUGUAUUCUGAAGAGAACCAUGAGAUUCUGUAGGGAAGGCUUGUGGUACCGUGACAAGACAAUUAUACACCACAGAUCUGGAGAGCGUGACCUCUGAGCUAAUCGCGUGUUACCCUUGAGCUAACCACGGGUCCUUGAUGUAUCCAUAAGAGAACCAUGAGAUUCCGUAGGGAUGCCUUGUGGAGCCGUGAGAAGACAAGUCUACACCACAGAUGUGGAGAGCGUACCUCUGAACUAAUCGCGUGUUACUCUUGAGCCAACCACAGGUUCUUGCUGUAUCCUUAAGAAUACCAUGAGAUGACGUAGGGAGGCCUUGGGAAGACUUGAGUAGAAAGGAUGGUCGAGGCGGAAAGAAGAUACAAAGCUAGGUUUUUGAGAGACCGUGGAUGACUUCGAAAUGUGGCACAUGACCAGCUACGAAUGUGGCACAUGACCAGCUACGAUGAGACUUCACAGCGUCUGAGGGACGACACAGAAUUACUAAGCAAGCAGUAAGGUGGACUGUUCGCCUACCUAAUAGUUAUCCGGUGAGCGUAUUUCAUUUUGUUCAAAUUACUU
Long non-coding RNA from Danaus plexippus (monarch butterfly), 864 nucleotides. RefSeq lists it as uncharacterized. NCBI's taxonomy places the organism in Eukaryota, Metazoa, Arthropoda, Insecta, Lepidoptera, Nymphalidae. The record is from RefSeq and is a predicted model, not a curated record. The transcript has 2 exons.